GGCUCCCAUAGUUCUCAUCCUGCUGGGCCUGCUGCUCUUCAAAAUGUACCCCAUUGAUGAGGAGAGGCGGCGGCAGAAUAAGAAGGCCCUGCAGGCACUGAGGGACGAGGCCAGCAGCUCUGGCUGCUCAGAAACAGACUCCACAGAGCUGGCUAGCAUCCUCUAGGGCCCGCCACGUUGCCCGAAGCCACCAUGCAGAAGGCCACAGAAGGGAUCAGGACCUGUCUGCCGGCUUGCUGAGCAGCUGGACUGCAGGUGCUAGGAAGGGAACUGAAGACUCAAGGAGGUGGCCCAGGACACUUGCUGUGCUCACUGUGGGGCCGGCUGCUCUGUGGCCUCCUGCCUCCCCUCUGCCUGCCUGUGGGGCCAAGCCCUGGGGCUGCCACUGUGAAUAUGCCAAGGACUGAUCGGGCCUAGCCCGGAACACUAAUGUAGAAACCUUUUUUUUUACAGAGCCUAAUUAAUAACUUAAUGACUGUGUACAUAGCAAUGUGUGUGUAUGUAUAUGUCUGUGAGCUAUUAAUGUUAUUAAUUUUCAUAAAAGCUGGAAAGC
Molecule: long non-coding RNA, 553 nt
Filed under: Homo sapiens (human)
Lineage: Eukaryota; Metazoa; Chordata; Mammalia; Primates; Hominidae
Description: HSALNT0005412
Source: RNAcentral